RNAcentral lists this non-coding RNA (46 nucleotides) under Cinara cedri. It matches the Rfam family "Histone 3' UTR stem-loop". From Rfam's summary of the family: The mRNAs of metazoan histone genes lack a poly-A tail. Lineage: Eukaryota; Metazoa; Arthropoda; Insecta; Hemiptera; Aphididae. The record is from RNAcentral.
AAAAGGGCCCUUAUUAGGGCCACCAUUUUUUUAAUUAAUACUUUAU